This 441-nucleotide long non-coding RNA is filed under the name Mytilus galloprovincialis (Mediterranean mussel). The record is from RNAcentral. Lineage: Eukaryota; Metazoa; Mollusca; Bivalvia; Mytilida; Mytilidae.
AUGGAAUGAAACCAAACAUAGCAUGAAUGUUCCUUAUGAGGUGCUGAACAAGUGUUAUUACUUUGUAGCCGAUCCAUCAUCCAAGAUGGCCACCAGCGGGGGACUUAGUUUAACAUAGGACCUUAUGGGAAAUACUUACAAAUGUCUUCUUUUAGAGAACCACUAAAUGGAAUGAAACCAAACAUAGCAUGACUGUUCCUUAUGAGAUGCUGACAAGGUGUGGUAACUUUGUAGCUGAUUCAUCAUCCAAGAUGGCCGCCAACAGGGGACUUAAUUUAACAUAGGGAAAUCUUCUUUUAGAGAACCACAGAAUGGAAUGCAAUAUUAAACCAAAUUUGGUCUCAAUCAUUAUUUAAGUACCUGUUAUGAUUAAUAUCUUUUUUUCAAAAACCCAAGUAGAGUCAGGUGAGCGACACAGGCUCUUGAGAGCCUCUAGUUUUG